CCCAGACUCCUACGGGAGGCAGCAGUAGGGAAUAUUGCUCAAUGGGGGAAACCCUGAAGCAGCAACGCCGCGUGAGCGAAGAAGUAUUUCGGUAUGUAAAGCUCUAUCAGCAGGGAAGAAAAAAAUGACGGUACCUGAGUAAGAAGCACCGGCUAAAUACGUGCCAGCAGCCGCGGUAAUACGUAUGGUGCAAGCGUUAUCCGGAUUUACUGGGUGUAAAGGGAGCGUAGGCGGCGCGUUAAGUCUGAUGUGAAAACCCGAGGCUCAACCACGGGAGUGCAUUGGAAACUGGCGGGCUGGAGUGCCGGAGAGGUAAGCGGAAUUCCUAGUGUAGCGGUGAAAUGCGUAGAUAUUAGGAGGAACACCAGUGGCGAAGGCGGCUUACUGGACGGCAACUGACGCUGAGGCUCGAAAGCGUGGGGAGCAAACAGGAUUAGAUACCCCUGUAAG
RNAcentral lists this ribosomal RNA (450 nucleotides) under uncultured bacterium. RNAcentral describes it as "bacterial SSU rRNA". It matches the Rfam family "Bacterial small subunit ribosomal RNA", at positions 330 to 793 of the family's 1533-position model. The record is from RNAcentral.